UGGGGAAUAUUGCGCAAUGGGGGGAACCCUGACGCAGCCAUGCCGCGUGAAUGAAGAAGGCCUUCGGGUUGUAAAGUUCUUUCGGUAUUGAGGAAGGUUGAUGUGUUAAUAGCACAUCAAAUUGACGUUAAAUACAGAAGAAGCACCGGCUAACUCCGUGCCAGCAGCCGCGGUAAUACGGAGGGUGCGAGCGUUAAUCGGAAUAACUGGGCGUAAAGGGCACGCAGGCGGUUAUUUAAGUGAGGUGUGAAAGCCCCGGGCUUAACCUGGGAAUUGCAUUUCAGACUGGGUAACUAGAGUACUUUAGGGAGGGGUAGAAUUCCACGUGUAGCGGUGAAAUGCGUAGAGAUGUGGAGGAAUACCGAAGGCGAAGGCAGCCCCUUGGGAAUGUACGGACGCUCAUGUGCGAAAGCGUGGGGAGCAAACAGGAUUAGAUACCCUGGUAGUCCACGCUGUAAACGCUGUCGAUUUGGGGGUUGGGGUUUAACUCUGGCGCCCGUAGCUAACGUGAUAAAUCGACCGCCUGGGGAGUACGGCCGCAAGGUUA
RNAcentral lists this ribosomal RNA (547 nucleotides) under uncultured bacterium. RNAcentral's name for it is "bacterial SSU rRNA". It matches the Rfam family "Bacterial small subunit ribosomal RNA", at positions 355 to 896 of the family's 1533-position model. The record is from RNAcentral.